Molecule: ribosomal RNA, 588 nt
Filed under: uncultured bacterium
Lineage: Bacteria
Description: partial 16S ribosomal RNA
Rfam family: Bacterial small subunit ribosomal RNA
Source: RNAcentral
UGGGGAAUAUUGGACAAUGGGCGCAAGCCUGAUCCAGCAAUGCCGCGUGUGUGAAGAAGGCCUUCGGGUUGUAAAGCACUUUUAUCAGGAGCGAAACGCUGUCGGCUAAUACCCGGCGGAACUGGCGGUACCUGAGGAAUAAGCACCGGCUAACUUCGUGCCAGCAGCCGCGGUAAUACGAAGGGUGCAAGCGUUAAUCGGAAUUACUGGGCGUAAAGCGUGCGUAGGCGGUUUCUUAAGUCUGCUGUGAAAUCCCCGGGCUCAACCUGGGAAUGGCAGUGGAUACUGGGAGGCUAGAGUGUGUCAGAGGGUGGUGGAAUUCCCGGUGUAGCGGUGAAAUGCGUAGAGAUCGGAAGGAACAUCAGUGGCGAAGGCGGCCACCUGGGACAACACUGACGCUGAGGCACGAAAGCGUGGGGAGCAAACAGGAUUAGAUACCCUGGUAGUCCACGCCCUAAACGAUGCGAACUGGAUGUUGGUCUCAACUCGGAGAUCAGUGUCGAAGCUAACGCGUUAAGUUCGCCGCCUGGGGAGUACGGUCGCAAGACUGAAACUUAAAUGAAUUGACGGGGUCAUAGCUGUUUCCUG